RNAcentral lists this ribosomal RNA (486 nucleotides) under uncultured bacterium. RNAcentral describes it as "bacterial SSU rRNA". It matches the Rfam family "Bacterial small subunit ribosomal RNA", at positions 30 to 507 of the family's 1533-position model. The record is from RNAcentral.
AUUGAACGCUGGCGGCAUGCCUUACACAUGCAAGUCGAACGGCAGCACGGGUGCUUGCACCUGGUGGCGAGUGGCGAACGGGUGAGUAAUACAUCGGAACGUGCCCAGUCGUGGGGGAUAACGUAGCGAAAGCUACGCUAAUACCGCAUACGAUCUACGGAUGAAAGCGGGGGAUCGCAAGACCUCGCGCGAUUGGAGCGGCCGAUGGCAGAUUAGGUAGUUGGUGGGGUAAAGGCUCACCAAGCCGACGAUCUGUAGCUGGUCUGAGAGGAUGAUCAGCCACACUGGGACUGAGACACGGCCCAGACUCCUACGGGAGGCAGCAGUGGGGAAUUUUGGACAAUGGGCGCAAGCCUGAUCCAGCCAUUCCGCGUGCAGGACGAAGGCCUUCGGGUUGUAAACUGCUUUUGUACGGAACGAAAAGGCUCUGGUUAAUACCUGGGGCUCAUGACGGUACCGUAAGAAUAAGCACCGGCUAACUACGUG